CCGCCGCCAGCUCCCCUCCGCUGCCGCCCCCACUGCCGAUGCCACGACCGCCCCUCUCCUCCGUAACUUCGCCCCGGAUGAGCCCCGCAAAGGCGCCGACAUCCUAGUCGAGGCCCUUGAGCGGGAGGGCGUCACCGACCUUUUCGCCUACCCCGGCGGCGCCUCCAUGGAGAUCCAUCAGGCUCUCACCCGCUCGCCAUCUAUCACCAACCACCUCCUCCGGCACGAGCAGGGGGAGGUCUUCGCUGCCUCUGGAUACGCCCGCUCCACUGGUCGCCCUGGCGUGUGCAUCGCCACCUCCGGCCCUGGCGCCACCAAUCUCGUCUCCGGUCUCGCCGAUGCCCUCCUUGACUCCGUCCCUCUCGUCGCCAUCACCGGCCAGGUCCCUCGCCGCAUGAUCGGCACCGACGCUUUCCAGGAGACCCCCAUCGUUGAGGUCACCAGAUCCAUCACCAAGCACAACUACCUGGUCCUCAACGUUGAUGACAUUCCCCGCAUCAUUAAAGAAGCCUUCUUCGUAGCCACCACGGGCCGCCCUGGCCCGGUGCUCGUUGACAUCCCCAAGGACAUCCAGCAGCAGCUUGCCAUCCCUGUAUGGGACCCACCGCUCCGCCUUCCCGGCUACAUCUCCCGCCUCCCCAGGCUUCCUGCACGCCCUCUGCUCGAUCAGAUCCUCCGCCUGGUGUCGGAAUCCCGUCGCCCAGUC
This 706-nucleotide long non-coding RNA is filed under the name Musa acuminata (dwarf banana). RNAcentral describes it as "long non-coding RNA (MACU_LNC003209)". The record is from RNAcentral. Lineage: Eukaryota; Viridiplantae; Streptophyta; Magnoliopsida; Zingiberales; Musaceae.